AUCAUCCACAAGAGCAGUGCAGGUUCGCUGAGAAAAGUAGGAACUGCAGAUGCCGGAGACUCCGAGAUACUGAGAUGUAGAGCUGGGUGAAUAUAACAGGCCAAGAAGUAUCAGAGGAGCAGGAAAGCUGACGUUUUGUGACUGGCCCCUUCGCUGAGACUAAGAUACCAGCGAUCGUUGCCAAAGCCCUGUUACCUGUGGAGAAGGUGAUGUUUAACUUUCCUGUGCUGCUGCAGUUCGUAUGAUGAAGGUGCUCCCACAAUUGUGGUCAUUUGAGAAGUUACAGAUCAUUCAUCUAGCGAUACUGAAGAGCUGAUGGUGAUAUUACAAGUGGACUUUCAGGUGGGAAACUCAAUUAUUGUAACACCAAACUCUGACAGAAUUACUCAAUUCAUCAACAUCUGGAUAUUUGCAUUGUGAGCACUCGUCUGGAUUGUGUUGGAGCAUUUUCCACUUCCCUGCAUGAGUACAACCGCAACACUAUUAGAAAAAGUGAACAUCCUCCAGAUGAAGCGCUCUGUCAGAGUUGUGUCCCAUCUACCACAUUCAACAUUCCCCUCUACACCACCGAAGGAAAGUGGCAUCACUGUGCCAAAGAUUUCCACAAUUUUACUUCUGCACUGUUCUUAACCUUUUGAUCCCUCUGAAAGUCUGAGUUACAAUGCCUGCCCUUCCUCGCUGGCUCUCCCACCUCUCUUUCAGCAGUUGUGUGCAAAUACUGACUGGAUCCCUUACCUGGAGGAUAUUUAUUUGAAUUUGUUCUAAUGAUGAUCCAGCAUAUUUCCCAAGUGUCGCUCCAUAAAUGUCCAGAGGAUUUCUCGAUUUCACAAUCUGUGGUUGUUCUUCUGGUUCCUCACUCGCUGCACUUGCUUUCUGUUUGAAAGCUUAGUCUGCAAUUGGAGAAUUCAAACAGGUCCACAUCCAGGUCUGACAGUCACUUUGUUUAUCACAAACCAGUUACCUCAGGAUUUUGAACAUUGGAGGAAAAAGCAGCAUUCACACUGGGGAGAAAUGCACAUGGUCUGUAAAGAGUCUGUGAAGAUUCAUCUGAAAUGUCCGAACACCAGCGCAGUGACACUGGGGAGAGACUGGAAAUGUGCAGAUUGCAGGAACGAAUUUUUUAAUCCAUCCCAGCUAGAAACUGACCACCAGAGUCACACUGGAGAGAAACCAUUCACCUGCUCUGAUUGUGGAAUGGGAUUCACUCAGUCCUCCAGCCUGCUUAAACACCAGUGAGUUCGCACUGUAGAGAAACCAUUUACAUGCUUGAAAUGUGGGAAAGCAUUCACUCAGACAUCUCAACCGCUGAUGCACGAGCAAAUUCACACUGGAGAGAGACCGUUGGCCUGUUCUGCGUGAGGGAAAGGCUUUGCUGACUCGAAUUGCCCGCUGAUCCACCAGCGACUUCACUCUGGGGAGUGGCCAUUCAUCUGCUCCCAGUGUGGGAAGGGAUUCACUUGCUCACCUCACCGACAGAGCGUUCACACUGGGGAGAAACCAUUCACCUGCUCUAAAUGUGAGAAAGCAUUCACUUGGUCAUCCUACCUGCUUGUGUUCCAGCAGGUUCACACUGGGGAGAACCCAUUCAUGAGCUCUGAUUGGGGAAAGCAUUCACUCAGUUAUCCAAACUGUUAACACACCAGUGACUUCACAAAGAAGCACAGUUGAAUUAUUUUGCUGUCACUGUCACUAUCAAGUGAACCAUGGUUUUGGGCUGUUUGUACUGAUGUUACUGAUCACUGCUCAAUUAAAGGUACAGGUAUU
Stegostoma tigrinum is the source of this 1764-nucleotide long non-coding RNA. RefSeq lists it as uncharacterized. The record is from RefSeq and is a predicted model, not a curated record. Lineage: Eukaryota; Metazoa; Chordata; Chondrichthyes; Orectolobiformes; Stegostomatidae. The transcript is spliced from 5 exons.